GCUCCCUACGGGGGGCAGCAGUGGGGAAUAUUGCACAAUGGGGGGAACCCUGAUGCAGCGACGCCGCGUGGGUGAAGAAGUCAUUCGUGACGUAAAGCCCUAUCAGCAGGGAAGAAAAUGACGGUACCUGACUAAGAAGCCCCGGCUAACUACGUGCCAGCAGCCGCGGUAAUACGUAGGGGGCAAGCGUUAUCCGGAUUUACUGGGUGUAAAGGGAGCGUAGACGGCUGGUCAAGUCUGAAGUGAAAGCCCGGGGCUUAACCCCGGAA
This 269-nucleotide ribosomal RNA is filed under the name uncultured bacterium. RNAcentral describes it as "partial 16S ribosomal RNA". It matches the Rfam family "Bacterial small subunit ribosomal RNA", at positions 334 to 620 of the family's 1533-position model. The record is from RNAcentral.